GACGAACGCUGGCGGCGUGCCUAAUACAUGCAAGUAGAACGCUGAAGGAGGAGCUUGCUUCUCUGGAUGAGUUGCGAACGGGUGAGUAACGCGUAGGUAACCUGCCUGGUAGCGGGGGAUAACUAUUGGAAACGAUAGCUAAUACCGCAUAAUAGUAGAUGUUGCAUGACAUUUGCUUAAAAGGUGCAAUUGCAUCACUACCAGAUGGACCUGCGUUGUAUUAGCUAGUUGGUGAGGUAACGGCUCACCAAGGCAACGAUACAUAGCCGACCUGAGAGGGGGAGCGGCCACCCUGGGACUGAGACACGGCCCAGACUCCUACGGGAGGCAGCAGUAGGGAAUCUUCGGCAAUAGGCGGAAGUCUGACCGAGCAACGCCGCGUGAGUGAAGAAGGUUUUCGGAUCGUAAAGCUCUGUUGUAAGGGAAGAACGAGUGUGAGAGUGGAAAGUUCACACUGUGACGGUAACCUACCAGAAAGGGACGGCUAACUACGUG
RNAcentral lists this ribosomal RNA (495 nucleotides) under uncultured bacterium. RNAcentral's name for it is "partial 16S ribosomal RNA". It matches the Rfam family "Bacterial small subunit ribosomal RNA", at positions 28 to 507 of the family's 1533-position model. The record is from RNAcentral.